Molecule: ribosomal RNA, 523 nt
Filed under: Lacon sp. UPOL RK0036
Lineage: Eukaryota; Metazoa; Arthropoda; Insecta; Coleoptera; Elateridae
Description: partial 16S ribosomal RNA
Rfam family: Bacterial large subunit ribosomal RNA
Source: RNAcentral
CAUGUCCUUUUGAUUAUAAUUUAAGGUCUAAUCUGCUCAAUGAUUAAUUAAAUUGCCGCGGUAUUUUGACCGUGCGAAGGUAGCAUAAUAAUUAGUUUUUUUAUUGAAAGCUGGAAUGAAUGAUUGGACGAGAGAAUUACUGUCUCUUUUGAAUUUUAAUUAAAAUUAACUUUUGAGUUAAAAGGCUCAAAUAUUUUUAAAAGACGAGAAGACCCUAUAGAGUUUAAUAUUAAAUUAUUUUAAUGUAUUUUUGGUUUUUUAAUUAUUAAUUUUUAUUUAUUAUUUGGUUGGGGUGACUAGAAGACUUAAUUAACUCUUCUUUAUCUAAUUAUUGAUUAAUAAUUAUAAAAUCUGGAUUUUUCAAAUUUAAAAUAAAUUACCUUAGGGAUAACAGCGUAAUUUCCUUUUAUAGUUCUUAUUGGUAAGGAAGUUUGCGACCUCGAUGUUGGAUUAAAGUUAAUGUUAGGUGCAGUAGCUUAAUUAUUUAGUCUGUUCGACUAUUAAAACUUUACAUGAUCUGAGU